This 372-nucleotide ribosomal RNA is filed under the name uncultured organism. RNAcentral's name for it is "partial 16S ribosomal RNA". It matches the Rfam family "Bacterial small subunit ribosomal RNA", at positions 527 to 896 of the family's 1533-position model. The record is from RNAcentral.
GUAGGUGGCAAGCGUUGUCCGGAAUUAUUGGGCGUAAAGCGCGCGCAGGCGGUUCUUUAAGUCUGAUGUGAAAGCCCACGGGCUCAACCGUGGAGGGUCAUUGGAAACUGGAGAACUUGAGUACAGAAGAGGAAAGCGGAAUUCCACGUGUAGCGGUGAAAUGCGUAGAGAUGUGGAGGAACACCAGUGGCGAAGGCGGCUUUCUGGUCUGUAACUGACGCUGAGGCGCGAAAGCGUGGGGAGCAAACAGGAUUAGAUACCCUGGUAGUCCACGCCGUAAACGAUGAGUGCUAAGUGUUGGGGGGUUUCCGCCCCUUAGUGCUGCAGCUAACGCAUUAAGCACUCCGCCUGGGGAGUACGACCGCAAGGUUG